AUGAGAAAAUUUGUGUCGGUUGUUAUACGGAUGGCUUGUGAGAAGAAAAUGAUAACCUGAAUCACAGGUUCGUCAGACUAGGCAGUGGUCCGGUUAUGUUCCUAUCACAACAUUGCAAGGCUCAAGAAACCAACCCACGGUUGUCAAAGAACAGACGGUACAAGAUUUUAAAAUGUAAAGAUUGGUACUUGUCAAUUUAAAACGUAAAUGAUAUCUACUGAAAUUUGGUAUGAACACAAAGAAUGAAAAGUGUAACUUACCUUGUAAAGAACUAUUUGGUGUGAACAUAAUAGUAUCUACAAUGUAUAAAAAUUGAGACUUCUAUAAACCGUUAUCUCAGCGUCAUAUCAGAUUUCAGAUUUCCCUAAAAAACAUCCAGUUUUUCCACAAUGUACAAACCCCUACAAACUCUACAUCAUCACAUACUUUUACCAUAAUUUAUAUAUCUCAACAAACCUUAAAAUUACAUAAAAUUAUACAAAAACGAUGAGUUGCCACCCAGAUUGUCCUGCCAAGAUACAGAUCGGGUCUACACCAUUCGAUUAGUUUCAAAAUCAUCACACAGAUCUGGACCGGUUUAUUAAAAGUCAUCACAACCUCGAACCAAGAACAAGAACCCAUUUGAAAAGUCUUCAAAACAAGUCCGGAUCUAGUCAUCAUCAACAGACAACAUAAAAGAGAAGUCCGAAAAGAUCCAAACAAGAGCAUCCAAAAAUGUACUCAAAAUACACAGAUCAGAGCUUCAACCAACGAUCGGGAGCUUAAUAUUUGAUCGGAAGCUUGAUUGGGAGCCAUCAUCGCAACGAUCGGAACCGCAUGAUCCGAAGACCGAAAACAGAUCUAAACAUCGUAAAAUCCUAGCCGUUUGGGUAGAAGAAGAUAUAGUCAUUGGAGUGAAGGGGCCUACCACCGCGUCUAGAAUCAAGUAUGGAAUUCCGGACUUCUCAAACGGACUUCAAUGCCCGAGGACACCAACAACGUGGGAAAAGCGGAAAACGAUGUCAGAAAAUAAUGACUAGAUUAGGACUAUGAUUUUUGAGCACACUAUGGGUGCUAUAACGUUAUGAAACACUUUUGCAACAUUUUGAUUAAUUGUUUUUAGUGAAAAAAAAACAAUUAUUAAUU
Molecule: long non-coding RNA, 1125 nt
Filed under: Helianthus annuus (common sunflower)
Lineage: Eukaryota; Viridiplantae; Streptophyta; Magnoliopsida; Asterales; Asteraceae
Description: hypothetical non coding rna
Source: RNAcentral